RNAcentral lists this ribosomal RNA (453 nucleotides) under uncultured bacterium. RNAcentral's name for it is "bacterial SSU rRNA". It matches the Rfam family "Bacterial small subunit ribosomal RNA", at positions 340 to 786 of the family's 1533-position model. The record is from RNAcentral.
UACGGAAGGCAGCAGUGGGGAAUAUUGCACAAUGGGCGCAAGCCUGAUGCAGCCAUGCCGCGUGUAUGAAGAAGGCCUUCGGGUUGUAAAGUACUUUCAGUCGUGAGGAAGGUGUUAAGGUUAAUAACCUUAGCAAUUGACGUUAGCGACAGAAGAAGCAUCGGCUAACUCCGUGCCAGCAGCCGCGGUAAUACGGAGGGUGCGAGCGUUAAUCGGAAUUACUGGGCGUAAAGGGCACGCAGGCGGUUAAUUAAGUUGGAUGUGAAAUCCCCGGGCUUAACCUGGGAAUGGCAUUCAAGACUGGUUAGCUAGAGUCUUGUAGAGGGGGUAGAAUUCCAUGUGUAGCGGUGAAAUGCGUAGAGAUGUGGAGGAAUACCGGUGGCGAAGGCGGCCCCUGGGACAAAGACUGACGCUCAUGUGCGAAAGCGUGGGGAGCAAACAGGAUUAGAUACC